Molecule: ribosomal RNA, 254 nt
Filed under: uncultured bacterium
Lineage: Bacteria
Description: partial 16S ribosomal RNA
Rfam family: Bacterial small subunit ribosomal RNA
Source: RNAcentral
UACGUAGGGUGCGAGCGUUGUCCGGAAUUAUUGGGCGUAAAGAGCUUGUAGGCGGUUUGUCGCGUCUGCCGUGAAAAUCCGGGGCUCAACCCCGGACUUGCGGUGGGUACGGGCGGGCUAGAGUUCGGUAGGGGAGACGUGGAAUUCCUGGUGUAGCGGUGAAAUGCGCAGAUAUCAGGAGGAACACCGGUGGCGAAGGCGGGUCUCUGGGCCGAUACUGACGCUGAGGAGCGAAAGCGUGGGGAGCGAACAGG